Molecule: ribosomal RNA, 464 nt
Filed under: uncultured bacterium
Lineage: Bacteria
Description: partial 16S ribosomal RNA
Rfam family: Bacterial small subunit ribosomal RNA
Source: RNAcentral
GACGAACGCUGGCGGCGUGCUUAACACAUGCAAGUCGAACGGAAAGGCCCUGCUUGCAGGGUACUCGAGUGGCGAACGGGUGAGUAACACGUGGGUGAUCUGCCCUGCACUUCGGGAUAAGCCUGGGAAACUGGGUCUAUACCGGAUAGGAGCCAUUUUUAGUGUGAUGGUUGGAAAGUUUUUUCGGUGUAGGAUGAGCUCGCGGCCUAUCAGCUUGUUGGUGGGGUAAUGGCCUACCAAGGCGGCGACGGGUAGCCGGCCUGAGAGGGUGGACGGCCACAUUGGGACUGAGAUACGGCCCAGACUCCGACGGGAGGCAGCAGUGGGGAAUAUUGCACAAUGGGCGCAAGCCUGAUGCAGCGACGCCGCGUGGGGGAUGACGGCCUUCGGGUUGUAAACUCCUUUCGCUAGGGACGAAGCUUUUUGUGACGGUACCUAGAUAAGAAGCACCGGCUAACUACGUG